AGAAAAAAAAAUUGGAAUGAUACAGAGAAGAUUAGCAUGGCCCCUUUGCAAGGAUGACACGCAAAUUCGUGAAGUGUUCCAUAUUUUA
Small nuclear RNA from Heterocephalus glaber (naked mole-rat), 88 nucleotides. The record is from Ensembl. NCBI's taxonomy places the organism in Eukaryota, Metazoa, Chordata, Mammalia, Rodentia, Bathyergidae.